Molecule: ribosomal RNA, 621 nt
Filed under: Leptoxyphium madagascariense
Lineage: Eukaryota; Fungi; Ascomycota; Dothideomycetes; Capnodiales; Capnodiaceae
Description: eukaryotic LSU rRNA
Rfam family: Eukaryotic large subunit ribosomal RNA
Source: RNAcentral
CAUAUCAAUAAGCGGAGGAAAAGAAACCAACAGGGAUUGCCUCAGUAACGGCGAGUGAAGCGGCAAAAGCUCAGAUUUGAAAUCUGGCGUCUUCGACGUCCGAGUUGUAAUCUGUAGAGGAUGACUUUGGGUAGCCACCGGUCUAAGUCCCCUGGAACGGGGUGUCACAGAGGGUGAGAAUCCCGUAUGUGACCGGAAGGGCGCCCUAUACAUGUCUCCUUCGACGAGUCGAGUUGUUUGGGAAUGCAGCUCUAAAUGGGAGGUAAAUUCCUUCUAAAGCUAAAUACCGGCCAGAGACCGAUAGCGCACAAGUAGAGUGAUCGAAAGAUGAAAAGCACUUUGGAAAGAGAGUUAAAAAGCACGUGAAAUUGUUGAAAGGGAAGCGCUUGCAACCAGACUUGUUGGCGGUGUUCCGCCGGUCUUCUGACCGGUCUACUCACCGUCUGCAGGCCAGCAUCAUCUGGGGCCGCUGGAUAAAAGCGGAGGGAAUGUGGCUCCUCCGGGAGUGUUAUAGCCCUCCGUGCAAUACAGCGAGCCCCGGGUGAGGUCCGCGCUUCGGCUAGGAUGCUGGCGUAAUGGUCGUAAGCGGCCCGUCUUGAAACACGGACCAAGGAGUCUAAC